RNAcentral lists this long non-coding RNA (937 nucleotides) under Marmota monax (woodchuck). Lineage: Eukaryota; Metazoa; Chordata; Mammalia; Rodentia; Sciuridae. The record is from RNAcentral.
GAGCAUAGCAGAAACCAGCUGCUAUGAGAUUAAGAAUCUAAGCAGUACUUCAAUUUAUUAGGAGAUACAAUACAUGCACUAUUUUAUGUUAUCAUUCCCUUCUGAUUCUCUUGAGUAGUUUUACAUGCUUAAGUAGUUCUACAGUACCUUUUUUAGAAAUCUUUAGAAAUUGUUUUAGGUGUGUGGAUGUAGCUCAGUAGUAGAGAGCUUACGUAGCAUGUGCAAAGCCCUACAUUUAAUCUCUAGCAUGUCAAAAAGAAAAAAAAAGAUGAAGAAAUUGUUUUUGAUAAGAUUUGGUAGUAAAACCCCAUAACUAUUAUUCAUCUGCAAAUAUUCUUUUAUCACCUUUUUAAAAAUUAGUCUUUUUUUACUUUUAUUUUAAAAUAAUUAUAUUCAUAGGAAGUUGCAAAGAAAUUGCAAAGAGGUUGGUGCUUCGUGCUGCACCAACUCCUUGCAAUUCUAGUUCCCUGCUGUCUGGCCCCAGUUUCCCACAUUCCUAGCUACUCAAAAUACAACCCAAACUUGAAUUAUUUGUGGAAUGUGAUUAUUGGCUGGGUUGAGGUCUCUUCUACUGUGUAUGUGAGGUGAGCAAAGCCUCAGACUGUAUGUCUAACGAAGCAGGACAUAUGGAGGGAGAUUCCCUCAAAGCUUGGCCCUUUGUAACUGUUGAUUGUUCCAGAUAAACUUUAGAAUCUAGAACUUUGUAAGCUCUAGAGGAAACUCCCACUGGGUUUUAAUUGAUUACAUUAAAACUCAUGUAUUAAUUUUGAGAAAAAUUGUAUGUUUACAUUCCCAUUUGGGAACGUGAUCUCUUUCUCCAUUUUUCAAGACUUUUAUACCCUUUGGUUUGUGUCUUUUCCCGCCCAUGUAAAAUCCUACAUGAUUCUAAAUUAUUUAAGUUCCUAGGUAACUACAAAUCCCCAUUGUUAUUUUGAAG